UAUGUGUGUAUGUAUGCAUGUGCGUUGGUAUGCGAGUGUCAAAACAUUAGCAUUGUUUGGAGCUCGGCUUGCUUUUGGCGACUUGCAGUUGAGCGCGAACAACGGUAUGGAAUGGAUCGUGCCGAAUGUCGUGUUGUUGUGGUGUGCUUUUUUCCGUUACGAUUUACGCGUAUAUGAUUUAAUGAAAAGUGAUUUGUUGUUGGCCAAACAAAUAAGUACAAACAAUAAAACCGAAAACAAAACAUGUGCAAUUGAUUGUUGUUAUUUGCUGUUGUAGUUAUUAGCUAUCAAUUAAUGAGCAAACCGACAACCGCAACAGUAGCAACAACAUUUUACAUAUCUACCAGUAUAAACUUUCAUAUGUGGAUACAUUUGUACAUAGGUAUCUAACAAUAAUAAUAACAACAAACACAUCGACAAUUACCUGCCAACAACGAAAAUUAACUUAAACACACGUCAACGUUGCAUUCACACAUUUGUCAGCGCUUGCGCGCGCAACAAGCGCAUCCGUGAGCGGUGCGCAUUCGUACGCAUAAUGUUUGUACAUAUGUAUGUAUGCACGUACGUGCUUACCUUCGUCUAAGCUCUAGUUGUUGUUAUUGUAGCACAGAAUUUUUAAACCUAUUUAUUGCACUUUAAGCUGUUAAUUGUUUCUGUUGCGUUAAUAUCUCAACAAAGUGGCUUUAUUUACUCAUCAGCGAAUAGUGACUUCGGAGUACGCUUAGUGUUCGGUUCGUAACAGUGUUGUGUUGCUUUGCGAAAAAAUCGAGUGAGCGGUUUUCAGAUGUCGUGUUAACGCGUUCGAUGCGCAGCGCCGGUAGUGUUGUUGUUAUGAAGCGAAUUACUUGUUAAGGCGUCAAAUUCAGAGUUGCAUAAAAAGAAAGAAAAAAAAA
Molecule: long non-coding RNA, 893 nt
Organism: Ceratitis capitata (Mediterranean fruit fly)
Lineage: Eukaryota; Metazoa; Arthropoda; Insecta; Diptera; Tephritidae
Exons: 2
Source: RefSeq, a predicted model, not a curated record